AGGGGGCUUUUGUGGAGAAAGAGAGAGUUUUUGCAUAUCGGAGUCCGAGUCCUUUUGGAUCAAGAAGAAGAAUCCCCCUUUAUGGAGGGAUACAGGGUUACCUGUGAUGUGACCGGGCGAAUUAAAUGAGUUUCCGUCAUGAUUGAGCACGAUCGUGUGAAUUAAUGCAUUGCCGUGGAAGAUCAGACUGGAGCCAAUGAGUCGUUGUGGGUGAUCGGACGCAGUCGAGUGAGUCAACUGGUUGCCGUAGAGGGCCUGAGAUUUUGGGUAAGCCGGAGAUCCGUGGAUGGCAUGCGCAUUAAUUGUUGAGUGAGCCGGAGAUUUGCGGAGGCCAUGCGCAUUAAUUGUUGACAGCGGUAGCAGGGCAUGGUCCCCAGAGCUGGCGA
This 386-nucleotide long non-coding RNA is filed under the name Phoenix dactylifera (date palm). RNAcentral describes it as "long non-coding RNA (PDAC_LNC008089)". Lineage: Eukaryota; Viridiplantae; Streptophyta; Magnoliopsida; Arecales; Arecaceae. The record is from RNAcentral.